RNAcentral lists this ribosomal RNA (170 nucleotides) under Oxychloe andina. RNAcentral describes it as "5.8S ribosomal RNA". It matches the Rfam family "5.8S ribosomal RNA". From Rfam's summary of the family: 5.8S ribosomal RNA (5.8S rRNA) is a component of the large subunit of the eukaryotic ribosome. It is transcribed by RNA polymerase I as part of the 45S precursor that also contains 18S and 28S rRNA. Lineage: Eukaryota; Viridiplantae; Streptophyta; Magnoliopsida; Poales; Juncaceae. The record is from RNAcentral. RNAcentral also lists the same sequence under 1 other name.
AAUGAUGGAAUGACUCUCGGCAACGGAUAUCUCGGCUCUCGCAUCGAUGAAGAACGUAGCGAAAUGCGAUACGUGGUGUGAAUUGCAGAAUCCCGUGAACCAUCGAGUUUUUGAACGCAAGUUGCGCCCGAGGCCAUUUGGCUGAGGGCACGCCUGCCUGGGUGUCAGUU